GUGAGGAAUAUUGGUCAAUGGGCGGGAGCCUGAACCAGCCAAGUCGCGUGAAGGAAGAAGGAUCUAUGGUUCGUAAACUUCUUUUGCAGGGGAAUAAAGUGCGGGACGUGUCCUGUUUUGUAUGUACCCUGAGAAUAAGGAUCGGCUAACUCCGUGCCAGCAGCCGCGGUAAUACGGAGGAUCCGAGCGUUAUCCGGAUUUAUUGGGUUUAAAGGGUGCGUAGGUGGUUUGAUAAGUCAGCGGUGAAAGUGUGCAGCUUAACUGUAAAAAUGCCGUUGAAACUGUCGGACUUGAGUGUAAAUGAGGUAGGCGGAAUGCGUGGUGUAGCGGUGAAAUGCAUAGAUAUCACGCAGAACUCCGAUUGCGAAGGCAGCUUACUAAGCUACAACUGACACUGAAGCACGAAAGCGUGGGGAUCAAACAGGAUUAGAAACCCUGGUAGUCC
RNAcentral lists this ribosomal RNA (445 nucleotides) under uncultured bacterium. RNAcentral's name for it is "partial 16S ribosomal RNA". It matches the Rfam family "Bacterial small subunit ribosomal RNA", at positions 354 to 796 of the family's 1533-position model. The record is from RNAcentral.